AAGUCGUAACAAGGUUUCCGUAGGUGAACCUGCGGAAGGAUCAUUAACGUAUCUGCCCUCGGGGGCGAGGGCGGCCCUGCUCCGGCACUCGCCGCGCAGCGGGUCACCUCCCCCCGAUCACUACAAACCCACUGUGCACCUUUCGCGGUGGAGGGUGCGGCGCGAGCCUGCCCGAAGCCGCGGUCUCACAGACUCGUCCUGGAAUGUCUUGCGGACUCGUUCCGCCCAUAAACAAAACAACUUUCAACAACGGAUCUCUUGGCUCUCGCAUCGAUGAAGAACGCAGCGAAAUGCGAUAAGUAAUGUGAAUUGCAGAAUUCAGUGAAUCAUCGAAUCUUUGAACGCACCUUGCGCUCCUUGGUAUUCCGAGGAGCAUGCCUGUUUGAGUGUCUUGAAGUCAUCAACCCUCUCCGCUUUUUCGGCGGGGUCGUGUUGGACGUGAGGGCUUUGCCGCCGAAGGGCGGCUCCCUCCAAAUGCUUCGGUUGGGCCUGUGGGUCGAACUCGACUGGGCGUUGUACCAUCCUCGCUCGACAGAGUCGCUCCCCCGUUGCGCUCGGCUUUGACCGCCUGCAGAGUGGCGGUCAACACCAUUUGAAAUCUGACCCCAAAUCAGGUAGGACUACCCGCUGAACUUAA
RNAcentral lists this ribosomal RNA (637 nucleotides) under uncultured fungus. Its description in RNAcentral is "eukaryotic LSU rRNA". The stretch from base 239 to 392 matches the Rfam family "5.8S ribosomal RNA". Lineage: Eukaryota; Fungi. The record is from RNAcentral.